This 170-nucleotide ribosomal RNA is filed under the name uncultured bacterium. RNAcentral describes it as "partial 16S rRNA". It matches the Rfam family "Bacterial small subunit ribosomal RNA", at positions 338 to 524 of the family's 1533-position model. The record is from RNAcentral.
CCUACGGGAGGCAGCAGUGGGGAAUAUUGGACAAUGGGCGCAAGCCUUGAUCCAGCCAUGCCGCGUGAGUGAUGAAGGUCUUAGGAUUGUAAAGCUCUUUCACCGGUGAAGAUAAUGACGGUAACCGGAGAAGAAGCCCCGGCUAACUUCGUGCCAGCAGCCGCGGUAAU